RNAcentral lists this long non-coding RNA (534 nucleotides) under Oryza brachyantha (malo sina). RNAcentral's name for it is "long non-coding RNA (OBRA_LNC001061)". Lineage: Eukaryota; Viridiplantae; Streptophyta; Magnoliopsida; Poales; Poaceae. The record is from RNAcentral.
GUAUCUGUCUAUAUAUCAUAUUACAAUGGGAUACCGUUUUGUGCUUUUCUGACCAGUUAAUUACCGUAUCACAGUCCAAUCUUUUUGUCCAUUUGUCUCUUCCGACGAUAUUCCUUCUUCCUUUAUUUUGCCCGCACAUUGGGAUUUACAGCUUGAACAUCCUACUUUUUAUUACUCCCUCUCUUAUACAUACAAAUGAAGUUUCUGUCCAUAGCAUAUCGGAUGUCUCAGUUCAGGGGUAGAUCCAGAAGAAAUUAUUAGUGAGGACUGAAUCAUUCUUCUUCAAUAUUUAGAAAGAAUUUUAACCCCUCUUUCUAUAAACAUAUAGCAGAAAAUUUAGUAGGGGCUUACACAUGUCUAUAUAGUAUUAUUAGAACCGGUAACGGAGGCUAGCCCCCACAGCAGAUUUAACAUUGUGUAAGCCUAAGAUGUCUCAAUAGUUGCACUUAGCAUUGGAUGAGCCAGGGUGACGAUUGAUCUUAAUGUGCGUUAAUGUCUCCUGCUGCCUCCCAUGCCCGGCCGAUCAUAUCAAUC